GAUGAACGCUGGCGGCGUGCUUAACACAUGCAAGUCGAACGGUGAAGGCGGAGCUUGCUCUGCUGGAUCAGUGGCGAACGGGUGAGUAACACGUGAGCAAUCUGCCCCUGACUCUGGGAUAAGCGCUGGAAACGGCGUCUAAUACUGGAUACGAGCUGCGAAGGCAUCUUCAGCAGCUGGAAAGAACUUCGGUCAGGGAUGAGCUCGCGGCCUAUCAGCUUGUUGGUGAGGUAACGGCUCACCAAGGCGUCGACGGGUAGCCGGCCUGAGAGGGUGACCGGCCACACUGGGACUGAGACACGGCCCAGACUCCUGCGGGAGGCAGCAGUGGGGAAUAUUGCACAAUGGGCGAAAGCCUGAUGCAGCAACGCCGUGUGAGGGACGACGGCCUUCGGGUUGUAAACCUCUUUUAGCAGGGAAGAAGCGAAAGUGACGGUACCUGCAGAAAAAGCGCCGGCUAACUACGUG
RNAcentral lists this ribosomal RNA (468 nucleotides) under uncultured bacterium. Its description in RNAcentral is "partial 16S ribosomal RNA". It matches the Rfam family "Bacterial small subunit ribosomal RNA", at positions 28 to 507 of the family's 1533-position model. The record is from RNAcentral.